AACCCAUGUUGUGGACACUUCCACACGAGAUCCUUGAAUUACUCCCAAGUCUCAAAUAAUGAUUCAAGCUCCAUUUGAACAAAUGAAGAUAUAUCAUCGUGAAGCU
Dioscorea cayenensis subsp. rotundata (Guinea yam) is the source of this 106-nucleotide small nucleolar RNA. The record is from RefSeq and is a predicted model, not a curated record. NCBI's taxonomy places the organism in Eukaryota, Viridiplantae, Streptophyta, Magnoliopsida, Dioscoreales, Dioscoreaceae.